ACCUUAGAGACCAACUAAGUUUGUUCUGGGUAUAAGCUUUCGUGUACAUGCAUACUUCUUCAGAUACACAUGCACAUGAUAGCUUAUACCCAGAACAAACUUAGUUGGUCUCUAAGGU
Molecule: microRNA precursor, 118 nt
Filed under: Podarcis lilfordi (Lilford's wall lizard)
Lineage: Eukaryota; Metazoa; Chordata; Lepidosauria; Squamata; Lacertidae
Source: RNAcentral